UGUUACCCUGGACUCGAACUGUUUGGAGACCAGGCCGGGCUCGGAGCGAAUCUUCAGUUAGGAAGUUACAGCAGCAUCUACCGAAACAGCCCUGCUGGCACUUGACGUUGUACCACUUGGGUUUGGUUUCAUUUUCUUCCCCAGCUGGCUCUCGAAAUAACCUUCUAGAUUUCAAACCAGUGUUUGAAACCACAAAUAAGGGAGCAAGUAGUCUCAAGAAGAAAAAAACUCUGGGAGAAUGUGCACUGAGAAAAGCCAGAUGGAGUCCUUCUGGAUCAAGUUAAUUAAGAAAUAAACACGACGGUAUACUGGAGUCAAAACCAAGGAAUGCGGUUUGCAUCUGGCUUUUGGGAUUCAGCAGACCCACCAACGGAGCAUCAGCUAACAGGCUGGAGGCUCUGUCAGCAAGUUCUUAAACGGCUCAUAAUUCUGCUAAGGGCUUGCAGGUAUCUAGCUGGUGUUCAAGGACCCAAGUGAAAACAUUACAAGGUUUUUG
Molecule: long non-coding RNA, 496 nt
Organism: Hyaena hyaena (striped hyena)
Lineage: Eukaryota; Metazoa; Chordata; Mammalia; Carnivora; Hyaenidae
Exons: 3
Source: RefSeq, a predicted model, not a curated record